RNAcentral lists this ribosomal RNA (387 nucleotides) under Trefusia sp. RNAcentral's name for it is "partial small subunit ribosomal RNA". It matches the Rfam family "Eukaryotic small subunit ribosomal RNA", at positions 587 to 975 of the family's 1831-position model. Lineage: Eukaryota; Metazoa; Nematoda; Enoplea; Enoplida; Trefusiidae. The record is from RNAcentral.
AGCUCCAAUGGCGUAUAUUAAAGUUGUUGCGGUUAAAAAGCUCGUAGUUGGAUCUGCGGCCUAGGUGUGUGGUCCCCCGAUGGGUGGUCACUGCACGACCUGGCCUUGUAUUUCUGGUUUUCCCUUGGUGCUCUUCAUUGAGUGUCUUGGGUGGCUGGAGAGUUUACUUUGAAAAAAUUAGAGUGCUCAAAGCAGGCGUUUCAGCCUGAAUAGUGGUGCAUGGAAUAAUGGAAUAGGACCUCGGUUCUAUUUUGUUGGUUUACGGAACUCGAGGUAAUGAUUAAGAGGGACAGACGGGGGCAUUCGUAUUGCGACGUUAGAGGUGAAAUUCUUGGAUCGUCGCAAGACGGACUACUGCGAAAGCAUUUGCCAAGAAUGUUUUCAUUA